RNAcentral lists this ribosomal RNA (388 nucleotides) under Panthera tigris (tiger). RNAcentral describes it as "partial 16S ribosomal RNA". It matches the Rfam family "Bacterial large subunit ribosomal RNA", at positions 2006 to 2582 of the family's 2925-position model. The record is from RNAcentral. Lineage: Eukaryota; Metazoa; Chordata; Mammalia; Carnivora; Felidae.
GAGGGCUUUACUGUCUCUUACUUCCAAUCCGUGAAAUUGACCUUCCCGUGAAGAGGCGGGAAUACGACAAUAAGACGAGAAGACCCUGUGGAGCUUUAAUUAAUCGACCCAAACUUAAUAACCAACCGACGAACAAGACCUCUGCAUGGGCCGACAAUUUAGGUUGGGGUGACCUCGGAGAAUAAAACAACCUCCGAGUGAUUUAAAUGACUAGACUAACCAGUCAAAGUAUUACAUCACUUAUUGAUCCAAAGAUCAACGGAACAAGUUACCCCAGGGAUAACAGCGCAAUCCUAUUUCAGAGUCCAUAUCGACAAUAGGGUUUACGACCUCGAUGUUGGAUCAGGACAUCCCGAUGGUGCAGCAGCUAUCAAAGGUUCGUUUGUUC